RNAcentral lists this ribosomal RNA (252 nucleotides) under Ixodes scapularis (black-legged tick). RNAcentral's name for it is "eukaryotic large subunit ribosomal RNA". Lineage: Eukaryota; Metazoa; Arthropoda; Arachnida; Ixodida; Ixodidae. The record is from RNAcentral.
GAUUCGUAACCUUGGGAUAAGGAUUGGCUCUGAGGAUUGAGCCGGUCGGGCUGGCGACCUGAAGCAGGAACGGCACCGCACCGGGACUCGGCGGGGCUCGCCGUUCACGCGGCGCGGCCAAGCCCGGACCACCGUCGGGACCUUCCUGUGGAAAGCCUCAGCUGCGCGGUGUCUGAGGGCUUCGAGCCCAAAGUGCUAUGCUUCGGCCGGCAAAAAAAACAAAACAAAAAACAGUCAACUCAGAACUGGCAU